This 73-nucleotide transfer RNA is filed under the name Blautia obeum. Its description in RNAcentral is "tRNA-Ile(tat)". It matches the Rfam family "tRNA". From Rfam's summary of the family: Transfer RNA (tRNA) molecules are approximately 80 nucleotides in length. Their secondary structure includes four short double-helical elements and three loops (D, anti-codon, and T loops). Lineage: Bacteria; Bacillati; Bacillota; Clostridia; Lachnospirales; Lachnospiraceae. The record is from RNAcentral.
CGGAACAUAGCUCAGUGGUAGAGCAGCUGGCUUAUAUCCAGCGUGUCGGUGGUCCGAAUCCAUCUGUUCCGAC